CCUACGGGAGGCAGCCGUGGGGAAUAUUGGGCAAUGGAGGAAACUCUGACCCAGCAAUGCCGCGUGAAUGAAGAAGGUAUUCGGAUUGUAAAGUUCUUUAGUCAGGGAAGAAUAAAAUGACUGUACCUGAAGAAUAAGCUCCGGCUAACUACGUGCCAGCAGCCGCUGUAAUACGUAGGGAGCAAGCGUUGUGCGGAAUGACUGGGCGUGAAGGGUGCGUAGGCGGUUAUACAAGUUAGAAGUGAAAUACCCAGGGCGUAACUCGGGUGCUGCUUCUGAAACUGUAAGACUGGAGUGCAGUAGAGGUUAGUGGAAGUCCGGGUGUAGCGGUGGAAUGCGUAGAUAUUAGGAGGAACACCAGCGGCGAAGGCGGCUAACUGGACUGCAACUGACGCUGAGGCACGAAAGUGUGGGGAGCAAACAGGAUUAGAUACCCUGGUAGUC
Molecule: ribosomal RNA, 444 nt
Filed under: uncultured bacterium
Lineage: Bacteria
Description: partial 16S ribosomal RNA
Rfam family: Bacterial small subunit ribosomal RNA
Source: RNAcentral